RNAcentral lists this long non-coding RNA (891 nucleotides) under Medicago truncatula (barrel medic). RNAcentral describes it as "lncRNA gene24083". The record is from RNAcentral. Lineage: Eukaryota; Viridiplantae; Streptophyta; Magnoliopsida; Fabales; Fabaceae.
CGCCAGACAAAAAAUUAAAAAAUUAUUAAAAGUGAAACACAAAAAGCGUUGUAAUCCUAGUUUAUUGAAAGAUAGCUCAUCAUUUUUUAUGUUUAACACAACUGUUUAACAUAACAGGACUCAACAACUCACUCAACUAACACGGCAUAACAGAAACACAAAAAGGGAGGGGGUUCAAUACGAUCCAGAAAUAGCACCACCACCACAAUCCCUAACACAGACAAAAAUAAAGUUCAACGACACAGAAUAACGAAAAAACGAAAACACAGAAUCUAAAUUCAGAGCCACCAUAACAAAAUGCGACCGAUCUAAGAGACUUGACCGCAAUCGGCGAUCACAACUGGCUUUGAGGUCUUUCCAGAUCCAGAUCCAACUUUCUCGAUCUCCUUCACGAUGUCCAGACCUUCAACAACCUGACCGAACACGACGUGUUUCCCGUCAAGCCACUCGGUCUUAGCGGUGCAGAUGAAGAACUGAGAUCCGUUGGUUCCUGGACCAGCGUUUGCCAUGGAGAGGAUUCCAGGACCGGUGUGCUUCUUGAUGAAAUUCUCAUCAGCGAACUUUGAUCCGUAGAUCGAUUCACCUCCGGUACCGUUUCCGUUGGUGAAAUCACCUCCCUGGCACAUGAAUUGAGGGAUCACACGGUGGAAGGAAGAUCCUUUGAAGUGGAGUGGUUUGCCGCUGCGGCCAACUCCUUUUUCGCCGGUGCAGAGAGCACGGAAAUUCUCAGCGGUGCGGGGAGUGACAUCAGCGAAAAGCUCGAAGAUGAUGCGUCCAGCAGGGUUGCCACCGACGCUCAUGUCGAAGAAAACCUUAGGGUUAACCAUGGUUGCGGGGAGAGUGAAUCAAUUGAAAACUCUAGAGUGAAGAAUAAGAAUAGGGUUAGGGUUU